UCUGAGAGAGGCACAAUCUGCCAAAAAAAAAAAAGAGGAACCAGCGCUUGGGCCGAGCUACAAGAUAUUCAUAUAGCCAAGGAAAACUGCAAGAACAAGCUCGUAACCUUGCAGUUCCAGACUAGCAUCAACUUAUUGCAGCACUAACAAGAUCUGUUCUGUGGCCAUUCGUAAUAAUUGUUCUGGGCUCUAGAUAGAAAAAACUCACCCUAGAGGUACAAGCAGUUCCCAUUUUUCAAUUUCGUUUCUCUUAUCAUAAAAACUGGCACUGGCUUGACUUACAGUGGGACAUCAGUCUUUUCUUUUAAAAUGUAUUUAUUUCUGAACUGAAAACCUACAAGAAAGACUGCACUGUCUUUGAGAUGGCAGAAUGCUCUGGAAAAGAAUCCCAGGAGAGUCGGAAGCAUACACAAGACCUAAUAAUCGCUAUAAUGAGUGUCUUCUUGAUAAUCUCCCUCCUACUCAUUCCGGGCUGCAGUUUCCUUUCUUACAAACUGAUGACAAAGGACAACACGACUUUGAAGAAAGAAGUGAAAUCUAUCACCAUCCAGUCUCACUUGCAUCAUGUUGAAACGAGGAUUGUCCUAUCUCCUUCCCAGCCUAUGCAAUUAGCUGCCCCCCAACAGAGGAGCUCCCAAGGAACCUCCCUCAUACAAACAUCACCGAUUUAUAAACAGCCUGGCGAUGUGCCACCGCUACGACCAGCCUCCAAUGUAUCUGCUGUCAGUUUUGCAUACACUGACCCUAGCACUGUUUUCUCAGCACCCAUACAAACAUCACCGAUUUAUAAACAGCCUGGCGAUGUGCCACCGCUACGACCAGCCUCCAAUGUAUCUGCUGUCAGUUUUGCAUACACUGACCCUAGCACUGUUUUCUCAGCACCCAGGAACCGUACUCCGGAAAGUUUUCUUUCUAACCUCUCAAAGUCAGGAAGCCUUUUUUCUAUGGAACAACAUGAUCUCUUUUAUGGGUCUUCCAGGAGUUCUUCCAGAGGGUCCAUGGACAACCCUGGAUACAAAUAUGAAGAUGGAGAAGGAAGCGGUGAUUCUGGGAGCAGCAUUUGUCCCAUUCAUGUGACAGACGAUCUACCUUUCACCAGACAUUAAUUAUAUUUAGGGUGACCAGAUCACUGACAGGAAAUAUCGAGACCGGGGGGGAGCAAAAAAAAACAAAAAACAAACAAACAAAAAAAGUAAAAAAAAAAAAAAAAAAAAAAAGCCGUUUUGCAGGUGCCGGGGGAAUUAGCAGGCCGCGGCCCCGCCCCCCCUGAGGGCCCCGGGCACAUGCGACACGU
Molecule: long non-coding RNA, 1294 nt
Filed under: Chrysemys picta bellii (western painted turtle)
Lineage: Eukaryota; Metazoa; Chordata; Testudines; Emydidae
Description: lncRNA (ENSCPBG00000016965.1)
Source: RNAcentral